UACGGAGGGUACGAACGUUAAUCGGAAUUACUGGGCGUAAAGCGCGCGUAGGCGGUUUGAUAAGUGGGAUGUGAAAGCCCCGGGCUCAACCUGGGAACUGCAUUCCAAACUGUCAGACUAGAGUGUGGUAGAGGGAGGUAGAAUUCAUAGUGUAGCGGUGGAAUGCGUAGAUAUUAUGAAGAAUACCAGUGGCGAAGGCGGCCACCUGGACAAAUACUGACGCUGAGGCACGAAAGCGUGGGGAGCAAACAGG
Molecule: ribosomal RNA, 253 nt
Filed under: uncultured bacterium
Lineage: Bacteria
Description: partial 16S ribosomal RNA
Rfam family: Bacterial small subunit ribosomal RNA
Source: RNAcentral